UCUGCUAUCACUCUUGGAUGGACCUGCGGUGCAUUAGCUAGUUGGUAAGGUAACGGCUUACCAAGGCAAUGAUGCAUAGCCGAGUUGAGAGACUGAUCGGCCACAUUGGGACUGAGACACGGCCCAAACUCCUACGGGAGGCAGCAGUAGGGAAUCUUCCACAAUGGACGAAAGUCUGAUGGAGCAACGCCGCGUGAGUGAAGAAGGGUUUCGGCUCGUAAAGCUCUGUUGGUAGUGAAGAAAGAUAGAGGUAGUAACUGGCCUUUAUUUGACGGUAAUUACUUAGAAAGUCACGGCUAACUACGUGCCAGCAGCCGCGGUAAUACGUAGGUGGCAAGCGUUGUCCGGAUUUAUUGGGCGUAAAGCGAGUGCAGGCGGUUCGAUAAGUCUGAUGUGAAAGCCUUCGGCUCAACCGGAGAAUUGCAUCAGAAACGGUUGAACUUGAGUGCAGAAGAGGAGAGUGGAACUCCAUGUGUAGCGGUGGAAUGCGUAGAUAUAUGGAAGAACACCAGUGGCGAAGGCGGCUCUCUGGUCUGCAACUGACGCUGAGGCUCGAAAGCAUGGGUAGCGAACAGGAUUAGAUACCCUGGUAGUCCAUGCCGUAAACGAUGAGUGCUAAGUGUUGGGAGGUUUCCGCCUCUCAGUGCUGCAGCUAACGCA
This 660-nucleotide ribosomal RNA is filed under the name uncultured bacterium. RNAcentral's name for it is "bacterial SSU rRNA". It matches the Rfam family "Bacterial small subunit ribosomal RNA", at positions 208 to 859 of the family's 1533-position model. The record is from RNAcentral.